UACGAAGGGUGCAAGCGUUACUCGGAAUUACUGGGCGUAAAGGGUGCGUAGGUGGUUUGUUAAGUCUGCUGUGAAAUCCCCGGGCUCAACCUGGGAAUGGCAGUGGAUACUGGCAAGCUAGAGUGCGGUAGAGGGUAGUGGAAUUCCCGGUGUAGCAGUGAAAUGCGUAGAUAUCGGAAGGAACACCAGUGGCGAAAGCGGCUUCCUGGUCCGACACCGACGUUCAGGCACGAAAGCGUGGGGAGCAAACAGG
RNAcentral lists this ribosomal RNA (253 nucleotides) under uncultured bacterium. RNAcentral's name for it is "partial 16S ribosomal RNA". It matches the Rfam family "Bacterial small subunit ribosomal RNA", at positions 524 to 776 of the family's 1533-position model. The record is from RNAcentral.